RNAcentral lists this transfer RNA (63 nucleotides) under Dipodomys ordii (Ord's kangaroo rat). It matches the Rfam family "tRNA". Rfam says of the family: Transfer RNA (tRNA) molecules are approximately 80 nucleotides in length. Their secondary structure includes four short double-helical elements and three loops (D, anti-codon, and T loops). Further hydrogen bonds mediate the characteristic L-shaped molecular structure. tRNAs have two regions of fundamental functional importance: the anti-codon, which is responsible for specific mRNA codon recognition, and the 3' end, to which the tRNAs corresponding amino acid is attached (by aminoacyl-tRNA synthetases). tRNAs cope with the degeneracy of the genetic code in two manners: having more than one tRNA (with a specific anti-codon) for a particular amino acid; and 'wobble' base-pairing, i.e. permitting non-standard base-pairing at the 3rd anti-codon position. The record is from Rfam by way of RNAcentral. Lineage: Eukaryota; Metazoa; Chordata; Mammalia; Rodentia; Heteromyidae.
GGCGCUGUGGCUCAAGUGGUAGAGCGCUAGCCUUGAAAGCUGAAGAGCUGAGGGACAGCGCCC